UAAGGAGAACCAGAGACGGCACAACCAAGAGGCAUGGAAAGGAGCAGGAACCUUGAAAGGCGCAUCCACCCUUCUUGAAUCCUAACAAUGAAACAAAAACAAACACCAACAGAAAUGCUAAAGCCCAAAGAAAACAACAGUGGACAACAAAAAUACAUAGAAAAAAGCAAAAUAAGCCACCAAACCUAGAAAUCAGAACACUAGCGGCGGAGAUGGUGGGGAUACAUAGACGCGUAAAGGAAAGGUGGAGGCACGCGAGGUGACAUCGGAGAGCGAGGAGGUCAAUGAAAAUGAUGGUGAGGUGCGUUGGCGAGCAGAGCUGAUGGAGGAUGACAAAUCAAGCUUUGAAAAAAGCAAAUCUAAAGUCCUAGGCAAUACCGUGAAAAGGAGGUGACGAAGCAGACCAGAUGGGGCGGUAAGGCGGAGGUGAAGGGUUGAGGUUGAGGUUGUGAUUGUUGCAGGAUCAGAGAUAGAUUGCCGAAGGUGAUGGGUGCAGGUCCCCAAACAUCGGUGUAUACCAACUCUAAAGUUUGAUUAACAUGUGUUGAGGAUAAAAGAAAAGAAAGUUGUUUGCUUUUAGACACGUGACAAGCAGAGUAGCUCAUAGGUGCGUGAUUCUUAACAACAGGUAACUUAAACCUAGAAAGAACUUGAAAACAAACACAAAGUGCGGGAUGUCCAAGUCGUGAAUGACAAUUAUGAAGAGAUGUGUGUUCGCCUAUCAAGGCUAAGGGUGCACAAGAUAUGGGCGACACAGAGGAGCUUGAUUAAUGGCUUGAAGGAGAUGGAGAGGAGCUGCAAUGGGAAGAUGAGGGGUUGGGCGACACGGAGGGUGGGAGCUUGUACAACCCAUUAUCAUUCAGGCCGUGAAGAAGAAUUCUCCUGAGCCCUGUUCCUUUACAAGAAAAAACCAAGGAUGAAAUUCAAUAAGGAAUGAAGUAUUGGGUGAGGAAAGUUUGGUGUUACCAAUGUAUUCAAUAGGUAACCCAUUACCAUUGCCCAUACGAAUUUGAUCACCAUCGGAGUAGGAAUCUGCACUGAAGUUCAGAUUGGCAAGAUUGGAUGUCAAGUGAUGAGUGGCCCUUGAAUCCGGAUACCAGCCUGAUCCAACUAGGCAUGCUGAGAUGCAUAAUAUACCUGUGGAGACCCGUGAGCUGGAGAGUCACGCUGAAACAAGUUGUCGAAGCGAUGGUAGCAAUCUCGGGCAUCAUGACCGGGCUUGUGACAAACUUGGCAGACCUGUCGUGGAGCAUUAGAGGUAGUGGGAAAGCUUCUUCCACUCCCACUGCCUCAGAAAUUUCGUCCAUAUGAGGUGUUUGUGAAAUUGCCCCUUUCAGAUGAGGAGAAAGAAUGACGACCACCAUGGCUUCCACGGGUAGAGCCACGCUUAGCAGCAAAGUUGGCACUCCCAUGUAUGGUAUUUCUAGUCGUGAGAUCAACAAAGGGUUGAUUCUGUUUUAGUCGCUGUUCAUGGGCAAGAAGAUGCGCAUAGAGUUCCUCUACAGAGAGAGGAUUCACCUGAGUAGUCACAGAUGUGACAAAUGAAUCAAAGUCACUGUCGAGCCCACCAAGGAGGAAAGAAGAAGCCUCGAAUGGGUUCAAGGGCUAAUCAACAGCUACAAGGCUGUCCACAAGGGUAGUAAAUUUAUGGAAAUGAUCAGCGAUGGAAGAGUUACAUUUCUUCAAGGUAACUAGUUGGUAAUGAACUUGCAUUGUUCGAGCUCGGGCUUGCAAGAGGAACAUGAGCUCAAAUGCUUCCCAGACGUCCCGAGAGGUGACACAGUGCACCACAUGUGUGAUAAGGUGUUCAUCAAUGGGGGAGAGAAGGGCUCCAAGAAUCAGUUGAUCCUGGCGUUGUCGACAGUAAUGGUCUGCGACGAAGCUGGAGUGGAACCAUCAACAUAUCCGAAAAUGCUGACUCCCUUCAAAUGAGGUAUGAUCUGAGCACGCCAUGCACGAUAAUUGUCUUGCUUCAACUUGUGUUGAAAAUUGUUUUGAAGGCUAUGGAGGAUAGGUGUUGAAGUGGGUGGGACAGUGUAAGAGAUAGGAGGGAACAUUGAAGAUAUGGGAGGAGUGCCGGAUGAAGAAGAAGAUGUAAAGGCCAUAGAUUUAGACGUUAGUCACUAUUGGCUCUGAUACCAUGUGAUAAAAUAUAAACAAUUCAAAUAUGUUUUCUGCCUUACUUAAUCAAGCUUAGGGUGAUUGUAUUUAUAGAGAAAGUGUAACAAGAUUAC
Alnus glutinosa is the source of this 2234-nucleotide long non-coding RNA. RefSeq lists it as uncharacterized. Lineage: Eukaryota; Viridiplantae; Streptophyta; Magnoliopsida; Fagales; Betulaceae. The record is from RefSeq and is a predicted model, not a curated record. The transcript is spliced from 3 exons.